GGUUGCCUCCUCCUGCCCUUCCUCCUCCUCCCCUUCCUCCUCCUCCCCUUCCUCCUCCUCCCCUUCCUCCUCCUCUGGCCGCUUAGUCUCACACCCGCCGGGCCGUUGCUCCCGAGACGUUGUUGAGUCCCCUGUGUCCUCUUCUGGACUACGCCAAGCCACAGGUGGAGGAACUGCAAUGUCUGGUGGAGAACAGAAACCAGAGAGGUACUAUGUGGGUGUGGACGUUGGAACAGGCAGUGUCCGCGCAGCUCUGGUGGACCAGAGUGGGGUCCUGUUGGCUUUUGCAGAUCAGCCAAUUAAGAAGUGGGAGCCCCAGUUCAACCACCACGAGCAGUCCUCUGAGGACAUCUGGGCUGCGUGCUGUGUUGUUACAAAGAAAGUUGUACAAGGGAUUGAUUUAAACCAAAUUCGAGGACUUGGGUUUGAUGCCACGUGUUCUCUGGUUGUUUUGGAUAAGCAGUUUCGCCCAUUACCGGUCAACCAUGAAGAGGAUUCCCAUCGAAAUGUCAUCAUGUGGCUGGACCAUCGAGCAGUCAGUCAGGUCAAUAGGAUCAACGAGACCAAGCACAGCGUCCUCCAGUACGUCGGGGGGGUGAUGUCUGUGGAAAUGCAGGCCCCGAAGCUUCUGUGGCUGAAAGAGAACUUGAGAGAGACUUGCUGGGAUAAGGCGGGACAUUUCUUUGAUCUCCCAGACUUCUUAUCAUGGAAGGCAACAGGUGUCACAGCACGGUCUCUCUGCUCCCUGGUGUGUAAGUGGACAUACUCAGCAGAGAGAGGCUGGGACGACAGUUUCUGGAAAAUGAUUGGUUUGGAAGACUUUGUUGCAGAUAAUUACAGCAAAAUAGGAAACCAAGUGCUACCUCCUGGAGCUUCUCUUGGAAAUGGGCUCACACCAGAGGCAGCAAGAGACCUGGGCCUUCUCCCUGGGAUUGCGGUUGCAGCUUCACUCAUUGAUGCCCAUGCAGGAGGACUAGGAGUGAUUGGGGCAGAUGUGAAAGGGCAUGGCCUUGUCUGUGAGGGGCAGCCAGUGACGUCACGGCUGGCUGUCAUCUGUGGAACGUCUUCUUGUCACAUGGGGAUCAGCAAAGACCCAAUUUUUGUACCAGGCGUCUGGGGGCCUUAUUUCUCAGCCAUGGUACCUGGGUUCUGGCUGAAUGAAGGUGGUCAGAGCGUUACUGGAAAAUUGAUAGACCACAUGGUAGAAGGCCAUGCUGCUUUUCCAGAACUACAAGUAAAGGCCACAGCCAGAUGCCAGAGUGUAUAUGCAUAUCUGAACAGUCACCUGGAUCUGAUUAAGAAGGCUCAGCCUGUGGGUUUCCUUACGGUUGAUUUACAUGUUUGGCCAGAUUUCCAUGGCAACCGGUCUCCCUUAGCAGAUCUGACACUAAAGGGCAUGGUCACCGGAUUGAAACUGUCUCAGGACCUCGAUGAUCUUGCCAUUCUCUACCUGGCCACAGUUCAAGCCAUUGCUUUGGGGACUCGCUUCAUUAUAGAAGCCAUGGAGGCAGCAGGGCACUCGAUCAGUACUCUUUUCCUGUGUGGAGGCCUCAGCAAGAAUCCCCUUUUUGUGCAAAUGCAUGCGGACAUUACUGGCAUGCCUGUGGUCCUGUCGCAAGAGGUGGAGUCUGUUCUUGUGGGUGCUGCUAUUCUGGGUGCCUGUGCCUCAGGGGAUUUCGCUUCUGUACAGUGGGGGAAAUAGAUAGCUCAGUUGUGGACAAUAGCAGCAAUGGGAAGAGGUAUUUGAGAAGAAAUCAGACUCCCUUCUUCCAGUCUUUUGCAAGACAGCUGUCCCCAAAGGGAUGAAUCCAUUACCUUCCACCAGAGUUGAGUUCAUUUUCCAUUUCAUGUUUCUGUUUAAAGCGAAAGCCCUUUAAAAGCGCUGAGCAUACACUGAGUGUGUGUACUUAAUUUUUAAUAUGUAUGCGCCCACACCUAAGAGAACAGAGAACCUUAAAUAAUAAUGAAACCGAAUUGUACAUGUUGUAUGUUUUAUGUGGCACUGAUUCCUAAAUAUGCUCUUAGCAGCCAGGUAUUAUUUAAUACAUCCCCAUUAAUCAAACUGCCAAAUCUAAAUGAAAACCAUGUUUAAAUAUGUUUAAUAAGAUUAUAGCUUUUGGUUGAAUAUCAAACUAACAUAGCUACAUUUUUCCUUCCAGCCAGCCCUCAUUUACUGUCUUAUAUUUUUACUCUGAAAGCUAGUUCUUUUGUACUAUCAAGUCAAUCUUGAUUAUAAAACAAGUUAUACCACAAACUUGUAAUAUCAUGAGCUUCAGCUGAGUCCUUCAUUGUAAAUGUCAGGAGAAAGAACAGUUCUGAGAAUUUUUUUUCUGGCUAAAAAAUGAUAUUUUUCUUCUUCUUGGGGUGAGCCUUUGAGUUUAAAAGGAAAUUAAAAUUCUAUUAGAGAUACUAAAUUGUUUUGUAGCAUCUGUAUUAAAUGAUGUCUGCCUUUUGCAUAGUUAUUGAAAGUGUUUCAUACUAAAGGUACUUUUUCUUUUUG
Molecule: RNA transcript, 2500 nt
Organism: Rhinopithecus roxellana (golden snub-nosed monkey)
Lineage: Eukaryota; Metazoa; Chordata; Mammalia; Primates; Cercopithecidae
Gene: FGGY
Gene name: FGGY carbohydrate kinase domain containing
Exons: 17
Source: RefSeq, a predicted model, not a curated record